RNAcentral lists this ribosomal RNA (424 nucleotides) under uncultured Planctomycetaceae bacterium. RNAcentral describes it as "partial 16S ribosomal RNA". It matches the Rfam family "Bacterial small subunit ribosomal RNA", at positions 355 to 774 of the family's 1533-position model. The record is from RNAcentral. Lineage: Bacteria; Pseudomonadati; Planctomycetota; Planctomycetia; Planctomycetales; Planctomycetaceae.
UCGAGGAUCUUCGGCAAUGGGCGAAAGCCUGACCGAGCGACGCCGCGUGUGGGAUGAAGGCCUUCGGGUUGUAAACCACUGUCAACGGGGAGGAAAUGCAGGGGGGUUCUCCCCUCUGCUUGACCUAUCUGUGGAGGAAGUACGGGCUAAGUUCGUGCCAGCAGCCGCGGUAAGACGAACCGUACGAACGUUAUUCGGAAUUACUGGGCUUAAAGGGUGCGUAGGCUGCGCGGAAAGUUGGGUGUGAAAGCCCUCAGCUCAACUGAGGAAUUGCACUCAAAACUUCCGUGCUCGAGGGAGACAGAGGUAAGCGGAACUCAAGGUGGAGCGGUGAAAUGCGUUGAUAUCUUGAGGAACACCGGUGGCGAAGGCGGCUUACUGGGUCUUUUCUGACGCUGAGGCACGAAAGCCAAGGUAGCAAACG